This 496-nucleotide ribosomal RNA is filed under the name Prosopodonta limbata. RNAcentral describes it as "eukaryotic LSU rRNA". The record is from RNAcentral. Lineage: Eukaryota; Metazoa; Arthropoda; Insecta; Coleoptera; Chrysomelidae.
GUUCAAGAGUACGUGAAACCGUUCAGGGGUAAACCUGAGAAACCCGAAAGGUCGAAUGGGGAAAUUCAUUCGAGUUUCGAUCGUCGGCGUUGAGCGGUCGUGCGACGGACGGAGUCCGCUUCGUCCGCGUCUUCAGCUUUUCGAACCGACUUCGAACUCGUGCACUUUUCCCCUAGUAGGACGUCGCGAUCCGUUGGGUGUCGAUCUAAGGCCUGCGGUGGAGCUCGCGUAGACGUUUCGGCGUUCUACGUGAACCCGUAGUGUUUCCCGAUCGACUCGCUCGACGGUAUAAAGAUGGCGCGGGGCCGCUAACUAUUACAAUUAGCGUUCGACCUACGGCAAGCACGUACGGUGUUUAGACGGCGAUCAGACCUGGUCGGAUCCCGUCCCCGGACGACUGUUGGCACGUAGAGUUCUCGAACAGACCUCGUCGAAACGCCGAUCUGCGACGCUAUAGCUUUGGGUACUUUCAGGACCCGUCUUGAAACACGGACCA